RNAcentral lists this ribosomal RNA (1406 nucleotides) under Klebsiella pneumoniae subsp. rhinoscleromatis. RNAcentral describes it as "bacterial SSU rRNA". It matches the Rfam family "Bacterial small subunit ribosomal RNA". Lineage: Bacteria; Pseudomonadati; Pseudomonadota; Gammaproteobacteria; Enterobacterales; Enterobacteriaceae. The record is from RNAcentral.
CAUGCAAGUCGAGCGGUAGCACAGAGAGCUUGCUCUCGGGUGACGAGCGGCGGACGGGUGAGUAAUGUCUGGGAAACUGCCUGAUGGAGGGGGAUAACUACUGGAAACGGUAGCUAAUACCGCAUAACGUCGCAAGACCAAAGUGGGGGACCUUCGGGCCUCAUGCCAUCAGAUGUGCCCAGAUGGGAUUAGCUAGUAGGUGGGGUAACGGCUCACCUAGGCGACGAUCCCUAGCUGGUCUGAGAGGAUGACCAGCCACACUGGAACUGAGACACGGUCCAGACUCCUACGGGAGGCAGCAGUGGGGAAUAUUGCACAAUGGGCGCAAGCCUGAUGCAGCCAUGCCGCGUGUAUGAAGAAGGCCUUCGGGUUGUAAAGUACUUUCAGCGGGGAGGAAGGCGAUAAGGUUAAUAACCUUGUCGAUUGACGUUACCCGCAGAAGAAGCACCGGCUAACUCCGUGCCAGCAGCCGCGGUAAUACGGAGGGUGCAAGCGUUAAUCGGAAUUACUGGGCGUAAAGCGCACGCAGGCGGUCUGUCAAGUCGGAUGUGAAAUCCCCGGGCUCAACCUGGGAACUGCAUUCGAAACUGGCAGGCUAGAGUCUUGUAGAGGGGGGUAGAAUUCCAGGUGUAGCGGUGAAAUGCGUAGAGAUCUGGAGGAAUACCGGUGGCGAAGGCGGCCCCCUGGACAAAGACUGACGCUCAGGUGCGAAAGCGUGGGGAGCAAACAGGAUUAGAUACCCUGGUAGUCCACGCCGUAAACGAUGUCGAUUUGGAGGUUGUGCCCUUGAGGCGUGGCUUCCGGAGCUAACGCGUUAAAUCGACCGCCUGGGGAGUACGGCCGCAAGGUUAAAACUCAAAUGAAUUGACGGGGGCCCGCACAAGCGGUGGAGCAUGUGGUUUAAUUCGAUGCAACGCGAAGAACCUUACCUGGUCUUGACAUCCACAGAACUUAGCAGAGAUGGUUUGGUGCCUUCGGGAACUGUGAGACAGGUGCUGCAUGGCUGUCGUCAGCUCGUGUUGUGAAAUGUUGGGUUAAGUCCCGCAACGAGCGCAACCCUUAUCCUUUGUUGCCAGCGGUUAGGCCGGGAACUCAAAGGAGACUGCCAGUGAUAAACUGGAGGAAGGUGGGGAUGACGUCAAGUCAUCAUGGCCCUUACGACCAGGGCUACACACGUGCUACAAUGGCAUAUACAAAGAGAAGCGACCUCGCGAGAGCAAGCGGACCUCAUAAAGUAUGUCGUAGUCCGGAUUGGAGUCUGCAACUCGACUCCAUGAAGUCGGAAUCGCUAGUAAUCGUAGAUCAGAAUGCUACGGUGAAUACGUUCCCGGGCCUUGUACACACCGCCCGUCACACCAUGGGAGUGGGUUGCAAAAGAAGUAGGUAGCUUAACCUUCGGGAGGGCG